AGGCGCCUUAAGGGACCACCUUGACAUGGUGGGGGUCGUUGGUUCGAGUCCAAUCGCGCCUACCA
This 65-nucleotide transfer RNA is filed under the name Acidihalobacter prosperus. RNAcentral's name for it is "tRNA-Ser". The record is from RNAcentral. Lineage: Bacteria; Pseudomonadati; Pseudomonadota; Gammaproteobacteria; Chromatiales; Ectothiorhodospiraceae.